This 116-nucleotide small nuclear RNA is filed under the name Panthera pardus (leopard). RNAcentral describes it as "U4 spliceosomal RNA (ENSPPRG00000019540.1)". The record is from RNAcentral. Lineage: Eukaryota; Metazoa; Chordata; Mammalia; Carnivora; Felidae.
AGCUUUGCACAGUGGCAGUAUCAUAGCCAAUGAAGUUUAUCAGAAGUGCAAUUACUGCUAAUUGAAAAAAAGACCCGUAGAAGAGAUGCUCCCUUUUCAGUGACCUACCUCUAUAG